ACUCAUUAACCAUCACAUUAUACAUCGAAACAUUUAAAGGAUAACCCUUAGUCAGAAGAUCAUGAUAAAUCUCUUGUGCAUCCUCAAGUCUUCCAUUUUUGCAUAGUCCAUCAACAAGUAUAGUGUAUGUAUACAUAUUUGGCUGAAUUCCUUGGUCUUUUAUCUUUUUUAAUAAUGCAAUCGCCUUGUCAACCUGAUGGUUUUUGCAUAAAGCAUCUAAUAAAGAAUUGUAAGUGAUCACAUUAGCAGGUUGGCCUAUAUCAUGCAUCUCGACAAGAAGAUCCCAAACAUCAGAGAUUCUCCCUGAUUUGCAAAGUCCAUCAAUAAGAGAAUUGUAUGAUACAGUAUCUGGAGUCAUAUUACUGGAAUGCAUUUCUUUGAAGAGAUUCGCAGCUUCAUUCACCAUUUUAUUCUUACAUAAUCCGUUAAUCAUGAUAUUGUAGCUAAAAACAUUAGGAGUCACUCCCCUUAGAGGAAGGGUGUUGAAUAGAUGUUUGGCCUUGUUGACUUCUUUAACCAAGAAAUAACCAUCCAUUAAAGAACUAUAAGUAACAAUAUCAGGUUCCACACGUUGUUUUAUCAUAACAGCCAACACAUGUCUAGCUUUUUUCACCUCUCCUUGCUUACAUAAACCAUCGACCAAUGUAGUGAAAGUAAGAACAUCCGGACUGAUGUUUUUCAUCGACAUUUGAUUUAACAAACCAACUGCUUCUUUCAUUUGACCCAAAAUGGAAAAACCAUAUAUUAGAGUAUUGUAAGUGAUGACAUUAGGAUGAAUUUUGUUAACAAUCAUUUCAGAAUAUAAAUCAUACCCAUCACUAACAAGCUUAUCUUUACAGAGAGCGUCAAUGAUUGUGUUGUACAUAACGACAUCAGGCUUAACCAACAACCCUUUAAUCUUUUCAAGCAACUGUAGGGCAGCUUUUGUUUCUCCGGAUUUACAUAACCCGUUGAUCAAGAUCCCAUAACUAACAUGAUUAAGAUGAAAUCCUUUUGCUAUAACAUGAUCAUGAAAGUAAAGUGCUUUCCUAAUUUGACCAUUAAGACAAAGACCGUUGAUAAGUGUAGUUAAAGUUACAGUAUUUGGCUGAUAACCUAGCUUAAGAAUCUUACCCAAUAUAGAAAAAGCGUAAUUGAGUUGAUUCAAGUGGCAGAAAGAAUUAAUCAAGAUGCUUAAAGUAACAAUGUUAGGUUGAAUUCCUUUGAGUUCCAUUUGGUGAGAGAAUGAAAUAGCGGUACUGAAAUGAUUCAUCUUAACAAGAGAACCUAAAAUCUUACCGAAUUCGAAGAUGGGUGGGGUAGGGUUAUUCAUAUGAAGAAUGCGAUUGAACGAUGAAACGGCGUCGUCGACAUUGGGAAUGAACAAAGGAAGAGGCUGAAUGUGUAAACGACGAACUGGAAGAAAGAAAUUGGCAGUGGAGGCUGAACGUGUAAAUGAUGACAUCAUCAUAUGAGUGAGUGAGUGAAGAAGAAACAACGGAAUGAGCUUACUGAUACAGAAGAAGCAUUCAGAACAUUUUAUUUUCAAGUAGUCUAGUGUCUAAAACUCGCACAAUUUAAUUGGGGAGACAUAGAAUUCUAACUCUGACUCUGUACAUAUAUAAAGUGUAUUAUCCAAGCUAAUCCCACGGGGAUUCAAGACACUUUUAUUAUUUCAAUCAUCAAGUGAAAUCACCGAAAUACCCCUAUUAUAAAAUUAAAUUUACAAAAUCAAACAAACCUCUUACCCAUUAGACCAUCUCUAAUGGUAUGUUUAAUGUGUCAUUCAACUCCUUCUUUAUCUCCAAUGGUUUGUUUAAUGUGUGUUGAAUGGGGGAAUAGAAGAGAGAGAAGAUGAAUACAUUCAACACCAAUUAAUCCUGCCACGGAUGCCACGCAGUGCAAGCAAAUUGGCCCAAAACGGGCGCGUGCAUCACACGCGCCGACAAGGCGCGUGAACGGUCAGAGGCUCGGAGAGAGAAACGGUUUUUGGAUAGAUAAGGACACGUGGCGCGUUUUAAUUGGUUGUCCGGAUUCUAAUCAUUUUAAUAAUUUGACCUCAAUUAUUUCGUUGUAAAUUAAUUUUAAAAAAAAAAUUACCAAAAUUCAUGAUUUUUUUUCUCUAUAAAUAGAGACUUAGAUCAUUUGAUUUGGACACAGAAAAAAAAAAACCAAGUUUUUCACUAUCUUCAUCUUAUUAUUAUCUUUCUAUUAGCAAACUAAGUGAAGUUUUAAUCUUAUUUUUUGUGAAAUGGAUCCCAAUAAUAACUAUUUCAACACCCAAAAAUUUUCUAAUUACCCAUAUAACUACGAAAAUCCCAACAAUUAUCUAAUUCCAAAUCAAUUUUUUAACCAACGUCCUCAAAACAUACAUCAAAACGUACCUAAUUUUUGUUUUUCACUAAAUUUCAACCAGUCAUCCUCUGUUCCAAACUUUCAUCCAUAUUAUGGAUCUAUGAUGAAAUAUUCAUCUCAAACACCCCCAUUUAAUGGUUAUAUGCCAAUGGAGAAUGAAAAUUUUCCUAGUGUUGGUGCAACUCAAUAUCCUGAAUUUUCAACACAAAUAACUUCUGGUGGCAUGGCAGUUGCUAAUGAAGUCACUACAGAAGAUUCAACUCCUAAGAGCAAGAGAAGUAAGGAACCAGCAUGGAACACUCAACAAAAUUUGGUUCUAAUUAGUGCAUGGAUUAAAUAUGGAACAAGCAGUGUUGUCGGAAAAAACCAGAGAGGAGAAACAUAUUAGGGGUAAAUUUGCUGAGUAUUGUAAUGAAUAUUGCUCAUUUAAUUAUCCCCGCGAUCUAGUUGUAUGCCGAAACCGUUUUAAUUAUAUGAGCAAAGUAAUAAAUAAAUGGAUUGGUGCUUAUGAAAACAUUAAGCGUUUGCAAAAGCUACCUUACAUAACUUGUUUAACCUAAAAUCAUAUAUUUCUAAAUGAUCCUUAUUCCUUCUGUUAUGUUCAUUCUAUUAUAAAGGUUACAUUCUUGAAAUAGUUACAACCUUAGACAAUUAAUUGCACAACAAUAACCUAAGAAACUAUCGGCAACUUUAACACCUGACACAACUCAAACGAUACAAACAAAACAAAAUGUGUGCAGACUUUUAAGGUAAAACCUCUAAAGUUGAGUGCAGAAAAAGAGAUAAAACGGUUCAAACUUCUAAAGAAGAUCAAGAAAAUUCAAAGUACAUUGGAAAGAUAAACAAAAGGAACCUAGUAAAACAUGACUUUUAACUAUUUAUCAUACAAUUUUUUUCCUAUCUUAAUUUCUCCAUGGAUAUCUUCAUAAGGUAUCCAAAACAAAAUGCAUUUCUUCCUGUAUUAAUUAAGACCAGUGGAUAGAAAAGCUAAACGUAUGUAGGAUUGUAUUCUGGCAAUUACAGUGAAUGAAAAAAAUCUUUGAAAACGGAUUAAGCAGGUUCACAACAAAUUGAGAAGAAAAGCAUAGUUAGUAAGGAAUUAAAAAAUUCAGCUUCCAAGUAUCAUAGUGAACACUACCAAAGUACAGCAUUUAAUCAAAACUAAUGUAACAGGGAACCAAUUGUACUAAUCAUCUUUUAUCAAUAUGAAAAGAAAUAAAGAUUAGAUGUCGUUUUGAAAUUCAAAAUAACAAAUUUUAACUUGAAAGCAUCUCACCUAGUUUUACAUUAUAGUAGACCUCUAACAAUCAUUUCACGAAGAAGUUUAACAGCCUUAUCAUUCUUGUUGUUUUCGAACAAAGCACAAAUAAGAGUUUGGUAAGUUAUCGCAUCUGGGGUGCAACCAUUGUCUUCCAUUUUUGACAGUAAGGACAAUGCCUCGUCAAAUAAACCUUCUUUACAAAACUCAUUAACCAUCACAUUAUACAUCGAAACAUUUAAAGGAUAACCCUUAGUCAGAAGAUCAUGAUAAAUCUCUCGUGCAUCCGCAAGUCUUCCAUUUUUGCAUAGCCCAUCAACAAGUAUAGUGUAUGUAUACAUAUUUGGCUGAAUCCCUUGGUCUUUCAUCUUCUUUAAUAAUGCAAUCGCCUUGUCAACCUGAUGGUUUUUGCACAAAGCAUC
This 4014-nucleotide long non-coding RNA is filed under the name Medicago truncatula (barrel medic). RNAcentral's name for it is "long non-coding RNA (MTRU_LNC004467)". Lineage: Eukaryota; Viridiplantae; Streptophyta; Magnoliopsida; Fabales; Fabaceae. The record is from RNAcentral.